Molecule: small nuclear RNA, 164 nt
Filed under: Gopherus agassizii (Agassiz's desert tortoise)
Lineage: Eukaryota; Metazoa; Chordata; Testudines; Testudinidae
Description: U1 spliceosomal RNA (ENSGAGG00000005165.1)
Rfam family: U1 spliceosomal RNA
About the family: U1 is a small nuclear RNA (snRNA) component of the spliceosome (involved in pre-mRNA splicing). Its 5' end forms complementary base pairs with the 5' splice junction, thus defining the 5' donor site of an intron. There are significant differences in sequence and secondary structure between metazoan and yeast U1 snRNAs, the latter being much longer (568 nucleotides as compared to 164 nucleotides in human).
Source: Rfam by way of RNAcentral
AUACUUACUUGGUAGGGGAGAUUCCAUGAUCAAGAAGAUGGUUUUUUCAGGGUGAGGUUCAUCCAUUGCAUUGCAAGUGUGCUGUCCCCUGCAAUUUCCCCAAAUGCGGGCAACUCGACUGCAUAAUUUGUGGUAGUGGGGGACUGUGUCUGUGCUCUCCCCUG